RNAcentral lists this ribosomal RNA (410 nucleotides) under uncultured bacterium. Its description in RNAcentral is "bacterial SSU rRNA". It matches the Rfam family "Bacterial small subunit ribosomal RNA", at positions 505 to 916 of the family's 1533-position model. The record is from RNAcentral.
GUGUCAGCCGCCGCGGUAAUACGUAGGUGGCAAGCGUUGUCCGGAAUUACUGGGCGUAAAGGGUGCGUAGGCGGUUCAUUAAGUGGGAUGUGAAAUACCCGGGCUUAACCUGGGAACUGCAUUCCAAACUGGUGAGCUAGAGUGCAGGAGAGGAAAGUGGAAUUCCCAGUGUAGCGGUGAAAUGCGUAGAGAUUGGGAGGAACACCAGUGGCGAAGGCGACUUUCUGGACUGUAACUGACGCUGAUGCACGAAAGUGUGGGGAGCAAACAGGAUUAGAUACCCUGGUAGUCCACACUGUAAACUAUGAGUACUAGGUGUAGGGGGCGAAGCCCUCUGUGCCGCAGUUAACACAUUAAGUACUCCGCCUGGGAAGUACGAUCGCAAGAUUAAAACUCAAAGGAAUUGACGG